UGGGGAAUAUUGGACAAUGGGCGAAAGCCCGAUCCAGCCAUGCCGCGUGUGUGAAGAAGGUCUUCGGAUUGUAAAGCACUUUAAGUUGGGAGGAAGGGCAUUAACCUAAUACGUUAGUGUUUUGACGUUACCGACAGAAUAAGCACCGGCUAACUCUGUGCCAGCAGCCGCGGUAAUACAGAGGGUGCAAGCGUUAAUCGGAAUUACUGGGCGUAAAGCGCGCGUAGGUGGUUUGUUAAGUUGGAUGUGAAAUCCCCGGGCUCAACCUGGGAACUGCAUUCAAAACUGACUGACUAGAGUAUGGUAGAGGGUGGUGGAAUUUCCUGUGUAGCGGUGAAAUGCGUAGAUAUAGGAAGGAACACCAGUGGCGAAGGCGACCACCUGGACUAAUACUGACACUGAGGUGCGAAAGCGUGGGGAGCAAACA
Molecule: ribosomal RNA, 427 nt
Filed under: uncultured bacterium
Lineage: Bacteria
Description: partial 16S ribosomal RNA
Rfam family: Bacterial small subunit ribosomal RNA
Source: RNAcentral